GCCCUUCGGGGCUUCUUGGUGAUUCAUGAUAACUUUACGGAUCGCAUGGCCUUGCGCCGGCGACGGUUCAUUCAAAUUUCUGCCCUAUCAACUUUCGAUGGUAAGGUAUUGGCUUACCAUGGUUUCAACGGGUAACGGGGAAUUAGGGUUCGAUUCCGGAGAGGGAGCCUGAGAAACGGCUACCACAUCCAAGGAAGGCAGCAGGCGCGCAAAUUACCCAAUCCCGAUACGGGGAGGUAGUGACAAUAAAUACUGAUACAGGGCUCUUUUGGGUCUUGUAAUUGGAAUGAGUACAAUUUAAACCUCUUAACGAGGAACAAUUGGAGGGCAAGUCUGGUGCCAGCAGCCGCGGUAAUUCCAGCUCCAAUAGCGUAUAUUAAAGUUGUUGCAGUUAAAAAGCUCGUAGUUGAACCUUGGGUCUGGCUGGCAGGUCCGCCUCACCGCGUGUACUUGUCCGGCCGGGCCUUCCUUCUGGAGAACCUCAUGCCCUUCACUGGGCGUGUUGGGGACCAGGACUUUUACUUUGAAAAAAUUAGAGUGUUCAAAGCAGGCCUUUGCUCGAAUACGUUAGCAUGGAAUAAUAGAAUAGGACGUGCGGUCCUAUUUUGUUGGUUUCUAGGACCGCCGUAAUGAUUAAUAGGGACAGUCGGGGGCAUCAGUAUUCAAUUGUCAGAGGUGAAAUUCUUGGAUUUAUUGAAGACUAACUACUGCGAAAGCAUUUGCCAAGGAUGUUUUCAUUAAUCAGUGAACGAAAGUUAGGGGAUCGAAGACGAUCAGAUACCGUCGUAGUCUUAACCGUAAACUAUGCCGACUAGGGAUCGGGCGAUGUUCUUUUUCUGACUCGCUCGGCACC
RNAcentral lists this ribosomal RNA (853 nucleotides) under Shiraia sp. RNAcentral's name for it is "SSU rRNA". It matches the Rfam family "Eukaryotic small subunit ribosomal RNA", at positions 228 to 1087 of the family's 1831-position model. The record is from RNAcentral. Lineage: Eukaryota; Fungi; Ascomycota; Dothideomycetes; Pleosporales; Shiraiaceae.